This 784-nucleotide long non-coding RNA is filed under the name Equus caballus (horse). RNAcentral describes it as "lncRNA (ENSECAG00000057126.1)". Lineage: Eukaryota; Metazoa; Chordata; Mammalia; Perissodactyla; Equidae. The record is from RNAcentral.
AGCAGAUCAACAAGCCUAGGCUGAUGGUGACCGCUGCAGUAGCUCCUGGCAUCUCCAACAUCCAGUCUUGCUAUGAGAUUCCCCAGUUGUCCCCGAUUAGGUCAGGAACUACUGGAAGGACAAUGGAGCCCCAGCUGAGAAGCUCAUCAUUGCAUUCCCAGCCCACGGACACGCCUUCAACCUGAGCAACCUUCCAACACUGGCACUGGCACCCCUACCUCUGGCGCUGGUUCUGCUGGACCCUACACCAGGUUGCACCACCCCUGCUCAGUCCACGGAGCCAGUAACUCCUGUUCCCAGCAGCAGGAGCGGAAGUGGGAGAGAGACCGGGAGCAGCGGUUCUGGAGGCAGCUCUGGCGGCAAUGGAUUCUGUGCCAGCAAAGCUGAUGGUCUCUAUCCUGUGGCAUAAAAGAGAAAUGCCUCCUGGCACUGCCUGAAAGGAAUCAUAUACCAGCAGAACUGAUAGGCCAGGCUUGUCUUUGACACAAUCUGUUUUAUCGUUGCAACUGGGCACAAACCUGACCCGUGUCUCAAUUCCCAUGGGUUCUGAACAGUCUCCUUUGCUUAGCACAUCUUGCUGCCACCUAGGGUUCCAUAAAAAAAUCCAUCAGUCAAAACAUGAGUGUCCUUGGUUUUAAGUGAUUUUGGAGGAAACCUUUCUAGACGUGAAAAUACAGGCUGUAUGCGGGGGUGGAAUGGCGGAAGAUAGUAUGAGGGAGUGGUGGAGCCAACAACCCCAGUCUAAGAUAGUAUGAGGAAGUGGUGGAGCCAACAACACCAGUCU